Molecule: ribosomal RNA, 1329 nt
Filed under: Penicillium sp.
Lineage: Eukaryota; Fungi; Ascomycota; Eurotiomycetes; Eurotiales; Aspergillaceae
Description: partial 18S ribosomal RNA
Rfam family: Eukaryotic small subunit ribosomal RNA
Source: RNAcentral
AGUAUAGCACUUUGUACUGUGAACUGCGAAUGGGCUCAUUAAAUCAGUUAUCGUUUAUUUGAUAGUACCUUACUACAUGGAUACCUGUGGUAAUUCUAGAGCUAAUACAUCGCUAAAAACCCCGACUUCAGGAAGGGGUGUAUUUAUUAGAUAAAAAACCAACGCCCUUCGGGGCUCCUUGGUGAAUCAUAAUAACUUAACGAAUCGCAUGGCCUUGCGCCGGCGAUGGUUCAUUCAAAUUUCUGCCCUAUCAACUUUCGAUGGUAGGAUAGUGGCCUACCAUGGUGGCAACGGGUAACGGGGAAUUAGGGUUCGAUUCCGGAGAGGGAGCCUGAGAAACGGCUACCACAUCCAAGGAAGGCAGCAGGCGCGCAAAUUACCCAAUCCCGAUACGGGGAGGUAGUGACAAUAAAUACUGAUACGGGGCUCUUUUGGGUCUCGUAAUUGGAAUGAGAACAAUUUAAAUCCCUUAACGAGGAACAAUUGGAGGGCAAGUCUGGUGCCAGCAGCCGCGGUAAUUCCAGCUCCAAUAGCGUAUAUUAAAGUUGUUGCAGUUAAAAAGCUCGUAGUUGAACCUUGGGUCUGGCUGGCCGGUCCGCCUCACCGCGAGUACUGGUCCGGCUGGACCUUUCCUUCUGGGGAACCUCAUGGCCUUCACUGGCUGUGGGGGGAACCAGGACUUUUACUGUGAAAAAAUUAGAGUGUUCAAAGCAGGCCUUUGCUCGAAUACAUUAGCAUGGAAUAAUAGAAUAGGACGUGUGGUUCUAUUUUUGUUGGUUUCUAGGACCGCCGUAAUGAUUAAUAGGGAUAGUCGGGGGGCGUCAGUAUUCAGCUGUCAGAGGUGAAAUUCUUGGAUUUGCUGAAGACUAACUACUGCGAAAGCAUCGCCCAAGGAUGUUUUCAUUAAUCAGGGAACGAAAGUUAGGGGGAUCGAAGACGAUCAGAUACCCGUCGUAGUCUUAACCAUAAACUAUGCCGACUAGGGAUCGGGACGGGAUUCUAUAAUGACCCGUUCGGCACCUUACGAGAAAUCAAAGUUUUUUGGUUCUUGGGGGGGGAAUUAUGGUCCCAAGGCUGAAACUUAAAGAAUUUGACGGAAGGCACCACAAGGCGUGGAACCUGCGGCUUAAUUUGACUCAACACGGGGAAACUCACCAGGUCCCAACAAAAUUAAGGAUUGACCAAAUUGAGAACUCUUUCUUGAUCUUUUUUGAAGGGGGGGCCAGGGCCGUCUUAAUUGUGGUGGAAUGAAUUUUUUCUUGCUUAUUCUGUUUAAAAAACAAAAAACUCCGCCCCUUAAUAAACCCCGCGCCCAUUUGUGUUCCUCGG